UACAUAUCAAUAAGCGGAGGAAAAGAAACCAACAGGGAUUGCCUUAGUAACGGCGAGUGAAGCGGCAACAGCUCAAAUUUGAAAUCUGGCGUCUUUGGCGUCCGAGUUGUAAUUUGCAGAGGGCGCUUUGGCAUUGGCAGCGGUCCAAGUUCCUUGGAACAGGACGUCACAGAGGGUGAGAAUCCCGUACGUGGUCGCUAGCCUUUACCGUGUAAAGCCCCUUCGACGAGUCGAGUUGUUUGGGAAUGCAGCUCUAAAUGGGAGGUAAAUUUCUUCUAAAGCUAAAUACUGGCCAGAGACCGAUAGCGCACAAGUAGAGUGAUCGAAAGAUGAAAAGCACUUUGGAAAGAGAGUUAAAAAGCACGUGAAAUUGUUGAAAGGGAAGCGCUUGCAGCCAGACUUGCCUGUAGUUGCUCAUCUAGGUUUCUACCUAGUGCACUCUUCUAUAGGCAGGCCAGCAUCAGUUUGGGCGGUUGGAUAAAGGUCUCUGUCAUGUACCUCUCUUCGGGGAGAACUUAUAGGGGAGACGACAUGCAACCAGCCUGGACUGAGGUCCGCGCAUCUGCUAGGAUGCUGGCGUAAUGGCUGUAAGCGGCCCGUCUUGAAACACGGACCAAGGAGUCUAACAUCUAUGCGAGUGUUUGGGUGUCAAGCCCGAGCGCGUAAUGAAAGUGAACGGAGGUGGGAACCUUUCGGGGUGCACCAUCGACCGAUCCUGAUGUCUUCGGAUGGAUUUGAGUAAGAGCAUAGCUGUUGGGACCCGAAAGAUGGUGAACUAUGCUUGAAUAGGGUGAAGCCAGAGGAAACUCUGGUGGAGGCUCGCAGCGGUUCUGACGUGCAAAUCGAUCGUCAAAUUUGGGCAUAGGGGCGAAAGACUAAUCGAACUAUCUAGUAGCUGGUUCCUGCGAGU
This 910-nucleotide ribosomal RNA is filed under the name Didymella poaceicola. Its description in RNAcentral is "partial 28S ribosomal RNA". It matches the Rfam family "Eukaryotic large subunit ribosomal RNA", at positions 37 to 967 of the family's 3401-position model. The record is from RNAcentral. Lineage: Eukaryota; Fungi; Ascomycota; Dothideomycetes; Pleosporales; Didymellaceae.